CAUUAUCAAAUAAUUGACAAUUUAUCGCCCUUUGUAUCAACACGCCAUUUGUAAACAUGAAAGGUCGUGUGAAAGGAAACUUUUAAACAGUAAUGUGACGAUUGAUUUAAAAGGGAUAAUGAAUGUCAUUGAGCGACUUACAGAUCAACUAUUGAUGAACUACUGAGAAACAUCUGGCAUAUUGCUAUGACCUUAAACAAACAAAAAAAGGAAUUCUCAAGGCAUGCUACAUACCACGUGUUGGAAGAGUUUGUGGAAUGGCUGAAGGAAGAAAGAAUUUCCAGCCAGAAAAAUAAAAUUCUUUAUGAAUUUGUGAAUGGAAAUGAAACCCGAGGAACUAAUAUAUUUGCUUACCAUCCAGUUGAAAGUAUGCCAAUGGAAUAAAGUGCAACUGUCACAGAAGUGCACAAAAUAUGGUCAUGUUUUCUGCAAAAGUUCACCAAGCUGAUUCAAACUACAAAUGGGAGUCAAGAAAAAAGUAAAACUAACUGAACUGUCACAAUUCAACUGUGAGAAAUGUUUGGUAAAAGUAUGUUUUGUUGUCAGAACAGCAGUGAAGUGGUUAGAGUAAAAGUGUCUUCAUUGUUUAAGCAAUACAGAAUUUUUUUUAAAAAACGUACUCCAUGCAUAAUAUAUCUUGAGUGCUCUUUUUUAUUUAAAUAAUCAUACAGUUUCAAGAAAUUUGACAAUAAAUGCUAUCUUUAAUUUUACAAGAAAAUAGUGCAUUGUUGCCAUGGUAUUAAACAUUAAUCUGACUAUAAAUUAUUGUAAAACAUCUUUCAUGUUUAUAUGUUCUAUUUGUUAAAAAAAUUAAUGUAAGGUCAUAUUCUUUUCUAAGUAAUAACUGCAUCAACAAAACAUUAUGUUAUCAUAUGAAUCUGCCUUAAACUAGCAAGAGUUGUGUCGUGUGUAUCAGAAAAUUAUGUAUAUCCCAAACAGUGUCACAUCAGUUUACAUGAAAUGAGGUUUUCUUACUUUUGAAUAUGAAAUUAGACAGCUUUCAAUGUAAAUAGUAUUUUGAAAAACACUUUAACAUAUUCAAUUAUUUCAAAAACUUGAUAGAAAUGGUACUUUUGGUAAGAAAAUACAUCAUGGUUGCUAUGGUAAC
Mercenaria mercenaria is the source of this 1108-nucleotide long non-coding RNA. RefSeq lists it as uncharacterized. The transcript has 3 exons. The record is from RefSeq and is a predicted model, not a curated record. Lineage: Eukaryota; Metazoa; Mollusca; Bivalvia; Venerida; Veneridae.